CUCCUCCUCCUCACUCCUCCUUUCUGUAUUUGUGACUGCUGUAAUUUUUAUGUUAAUUUUGAAUUAUUAUUUUUUACUAUAAUUAUUAAAAUGUCAUUUUUGAUGUUAAUCUUCUUUUUUUAGUUAUCUUAUUAUUAGAUUUGGAUAAUUUAGCACUUUAAUGUUUUCUAGAUAGUUAAAUCAAUGUAAUUUUAUAUUUACCGGUGAUGAUUUGAAUAUGAAAUUAGAUGAAACUCAUUUUGUCUAAUUUUUAUUUUAAUGCCUGGAUUUUUUGUUAAUUAUAUUUUUUAUUAUUUUAUAUUGGCUAGUUCUUUGCGGAGCUUGGGCGAGUGCCUUUAACAACACUGUCUUGAACAUUGGCACAGUAGCAUGGAACAAGGAUAUAGCGUGCUUCACAGUUUCUGAAGCUACCAACUGCAAUAGAUAAAUAGUGGAAGGUAGUGUCAGUGCGCAUGUGUCACAUCAAGACAUUAUUUCAGUGGUGGAGAAUUGCUUGGAUUUGAGCAUGAUAACAAGUAAAUGAUCAAAGGUACUGAUAAUCAACACUCAAACACCAUUUAGAGACUUAAAUCUGAGAGAAAUGGUUUAUGGGAACUGAUGGCAGGUGGAUUUAUGUGAAGAAUUUUAUCUGAUACAGAUGAUCAGCUUGAAGUUUUCAACUUCCUUUUGAUUGGAAGCAGAUACAGAAAAUAUAUUUAGUUUGGAUGCGCUUGAUCUGAGGUAGAAGAGGAGUUGGUCUUAGAGAGGGCAGCGAUUAGAUUAGUUUUUUUGUAUUUUUCUGCAAACAGCACACGAUACUGCUUCAAAAGAUGAUGUUUUUGGUGCAAAAAAGGCUCUUUUGCCUUUUCCCACGUAACAAUUCCUCCAUUUAUCUUUCCUCCUAUCAACUUUGCAGCCUGUUUAACUUUUCCACUGCCAAAUGCGAUAGUUCAGAGAACAGUUCCAACUUUAUAGUGGUCAACCCCCUUCAAUCAUGUGAACUUUCCUCGGAAAAGGCUGCAAAAACAGCCAAGUAUCACACCUGUCGUAAAAAUUCUUCGAGUCUUUCCAUUGAGUUCUUUAAGCAGAAGGGUUGGAGCGAUGCACAAGUCAUGAAACUUACCCAGAAGGCACCCAAGGUGCUGCGUGCUAACGUAGAGACUACACUGAAGCCCAGGAUGAGAUCUUUGCAGGACAUGGGAUUUUCUGUUACUGAAAUAGUUCAGUUGGUUUCAAAAUGUCCGGCUAUGCUCUUUCAGAAUAUCCAACCGAAUUUGAACUUCUUGAAGUCACUACUUGGUUCUAAUGAGAGGUUACUGAAAGCCUGCAGUAGGAACCGAUUUCUUCUUACUUCUAGCUUAGCUCGGAAGAUAGAGCCCAAUAUAUCUCUCUUAAGGGAAUGUGGCAUCAGUGAUGAAUGCAUCGCGGGUAUGGUGGUGUCGAAUCCGUGUUUUGUUGUUCGAAAUAACAAAUUUAUUAGGGAAGUUAUCGAUUAUGUUGAGGAGUUGGGUGUGCCACGGGAUUGUGGAAUGUUCCGUCAUGCACUUCAUUAUGUCAUGAACAUGAGCAGAUCUAAGUGUGAUGCUACCUUUGCAACCUUUAAUAGCUUUGGUUGGUCCCAGCCAGACAUCGUUGCCAUACUCAGGAAGAACCCAAGUGUUUGGACACUCUCAAAGAAUAACAUAUCUGACAAGAUGACAUUCCUGAUGAAGGAAGCUGGUUGUGAGCUGCAGUAUAUCAUUCGCCAUUCUGGGAUGCUUUCAUAUAGCUUGGAGAAGAGGUUGAGACCUCGUCAUGAUGUUAUAAAUUUUCUUGAGCAGAAUAAAUUGCUAGAUAAAGGACAAGGCCUUGCAUAUGUCAUGAAACUAACUGAGCAGAAGUUCAUGAACAAAUUUCUUUUCCCGUACAAGGAGAAAUUUACUGCUCUCUAUAAUUCCUAUGUUGCUGCUGUGCAGGGAAAGCACCAUGUUGUCGCUGAAAAUUAGGUUUGCGAGUGCUUCCCCGAGACAAUGUGUAAACCUGUUGCAUCCUGACUGCACUAUUUAAUCAUCUUAAAUUUGUGACAAUUUAUAUUCUUCAGGAGUUUCGUCUGAGUGGAACAUCCCUGUUGAUUUUGAUAUUUUAUUUCUAAUUAUCUUUUGAUACCUUUUAUUUUA
Molecule: RNA transcript, 2135 nt
Organism: Musa acuminata AAA Group (dessert banana)
Lineage: Eukaryota; Viridiplantae; Streptophyta; Magnoliopsida; Zingiberales; Musaceae
Gene name: transcription termination factor MTERF6, chloroplastic/mitochondrial-like
Exons: 2
Source: RefSeq, a predicted model, not a curated record